This 253-nucleotide ribosomal RNA is filed under the name uncultured bacterium. Its description in RNAcentral is "partial 16S ribosomal RNA". It matches the Rfam family "Bacterial small subunit ribosomal RNA", at positions 524 to 776 of the family's 1533-position model. The record is from RNAcentral.
UACGGGGGGUGCAAGCGUUGUUCGGAAUUAUUGGGCGUAAAGAGCGUGUAGGCGGCUUGGUAAGUCAGACGUGAAAGCCCUGGGCUUAACCCGGGAAGUGCGUUUGAAACUGCUUGGCUAGAGUAGGGGAGAGGGAAGUGGAAUUCCUGGUGUAGAGGUGAAAUUCGUAGAUAUCAGGAGGAACACCGGUGGCGAAGGCGACUUCCUGGCCCUAUACUGACGCUGAGACGCGAGAGCGUGGGUAGCAAACAGG